Molecule: long non-coding RNA, 406 nt
Filed under: Homo sapiens (human)
Lineage: Eukaryota; Metazoa; Chordata; Mammalia; Primates; Hominidae
Description: HSALNT0182218
Source: RNAcentral
ACAGAGCACAUCCCUGCCUUGCUGCGAAUGAUCCAAAGUUAGGAAAUCUUCCAGCCCAACGGAAUGCAGUACCGAGCAGAGGAGAGAAUCAACUGGGAAACUAGCACAGCAAGCUUCGUUCUUGUUCUCAGGGUUCGUCAUUAAAGAAAAACAGGUACAAUCACGUAGGGGGUGCCAGGCCAUCGUAGGACGGCGGCCAUCUCCGAAGAGGCGUGUGCACACACACGUUAGCAGGUCAGACGGCAUUUCCCCAUGGACUUCCGCACAAGUUCUGGGCUGCUUCAUCAUCUUUUCAGAAGGAUCUGUAAUUGGCACUGAUUCUUAAGCUUGAACAUAAAGUUUUCCAGUCCCUAAAGCCUCUCUGUCAAGUACUUAAUGACCUGUAAAACACUUAAAUAAACCAAAA